This 323-nucleotide unclassified non-coding RNA is filed under the name uncultured fungus. RNAcentral's name for it is "sequence contains 18S rRNA gene, ITS1, 5.8S rRNA gene". The stretch from base 1 to 127 matches the Rfam family "Eukaryotic small subunit ribosomal RNA", at positions 1707 to 1831 of the family's 1831-position model. Lineage: Eukaryota; Fungi. The record is from RNAcentral.
UCUCCGGAUUGGCUUUGGGAAGCUGGCAACGGCCUCCUAUUGCUGAGAAGCUGAUCAAACUUGGUCAUUUAGAGGAAGUAAAAGUCGUAACAAGGUUUCCGUAGGUGAACCUGCGGAAGGAUCAUUAGUGAAUUAAACAUGCUUGGUGUCUUCGCUUCGGCAAGGCCCUUGCUUAACUCACAUCCCAACACCUGUGAACUGUAAGGUGCAUGACUAGGUUCGCCCAAGUCAUCGUCUGCCCUUUUUAACAAACAAUUAAUGUAACAAACGUAGUCUUAUUAUAACCUAAUAAAACUUCCAACAACGGAUCUCUUGGCUCUCGC